GGAAUCUUGCACAAUGGAGGAAACUCUGAUGCAGCGAUGCCGCGUGAGUGAAGAGGGCCUUUGGGUUGUAAAGCUCUUUUGUAGGGGAAGAUAAUGACUGUACCCUAAGAAUAAGGUCCGGCUAACUUCGUGCCAGCAGCCGCGGUAAUACGAAGGGACCUAGCGUAGUUCGGAAUUACUGGGCGUAAAGCGCGCGUAGGCCGUUGAGUUAGUUAAUUGUGAAAUCCCAAAGCUUAACUUUGGAACUGCAAUUAAAACUGCUCGACUAGAGUUUGAUAGAGGAAAGCGAAAUACAUAGUGUAGAGGUGAAAUUCGUAGAUAUUAUGUAGAACACCAGUUGCGAAGGCGGCUUUCUGGAUCAACACUGACGCUGAGGCGCGAAAGUAUGGGUAGCAAAGAGGAUUAGAUACCCUCGUAGUCCAUACCAUAAACGAUGAUUGCUAGAUGUUGGAAAUUUAUUUUCAGUAUCGCAGCUAACGCAUUAAGCAAUCCGCCUGGGGAGUACGACCGCAAGGUUAAAACUCAAAUGAAUUGACGG
RNAcentral lists this ribosomal RNA (538 nucleotides) under uncultured bacterium. RNAcentral describes it as "bacterial SSU rRNA". It matches the Rfam family "Bacterial small subunit ribosomal RNA", at positions 358 to 916 of the family's 1533-position model. The record is from RNAcentral.